RNAcentral lists this ribosomal RNA (468 nucleotides) under uncultured bacterium. Its description in RNAcentral is "partial 16S ribosomal RNA". It matches the Rfam family "Bacterial small subunit ribosomal RNA", at positions 28 to 507 of the family's 1533-position model. The record is from RNAcentral.
GACGAACGCUGGCGGCGUGCCUAACACAUGCAAGUCGAACGGAAAGGCCCUGCUUUUGUGGGGUGCUCGAGUGGCGAACGGGUGAGUAACACGUGAGUAACCUGCCCCUGACUUUGGGAUAACUUCAGGAAACUGGGGCUAAUACCGGAUAGGAUCUCUUGCUGCAUGGUGGGGGUUGGAAAGUUUCGGCGGUUGGGGAUGGACUCGCGGCUUAUCAGCUUGUUUGUGGGGUAGUGGCUUACCAAGGCUUUGACGGGUAGCCGGCCUGAGAGGGUGACCGGCCACAUUGGGACUGAGAUACGGCCCAGACUCCAACGGGACGCAACGGUGGAGAGUAUUACACAGUGGGCGGGAGCCUGAUGCAACGACGCCGCGUGCGGGAUAACGGCCUUCGGGUUGUAAACCACUUUCGCCUGAGACGAGGCGUGAGUGACGGUAAUGGGUAAAGAAGCACCGGCUAACUACGUG